CACCGCCACAGGGAUUCCCAUAUUCAGUCAUUUGUCCAUGUUUUGUAGAGGGAUCCUCUGUUUUCUUCAUGGAGCGGGACCUGCUUAUGUGACCGUUGGCACAGACAGUCUGGGCAGCUGACCAAAGAGCAUUUAAUUCAUAACAUAUACAACAGUUUAAUUCUAUUCUUCCUCCUAACAUGUCAGUCAUGUUGACUUCUUAGAAACACUCUUGGGCUCCUGCUUUAGGAGGAAAAGCUCAGCUGCACUCGGACAGUUUUUCGCUGGGACUCAGAAUAAUGCUGCUUUGGACCACUCUGUACAAGGUAUCUGAUAGUUGAAAACCAGGUGACUGACCCACUUGCUUUGAGCAGUUUCAUGGGCGCUUUCGUAAUUGGUAUUUGGUGUUCCUCUUAUUCAGAGACCUGUGACAACUUUGCUUGGUGCACUGUUCCAAAGGCUCUGCAGUAAAUGGUUGGCUUGCCUGUAACUCCCCCCCCCCAGUGGAUGUGGUGGUGUAAGGAGUGUUCAGUAGUCGUUUCAAGCUGAUGAUGAAGCCUUCCAAGGAUCCAUUGAGGACACCAUGGUAGGAAUAAUACAUUGUCAGACCAGGAGAGGCCACCAGUAAACCAGAGGACAUCGGGGUUGUCCUUGAAGGCCAGAUGGUACUGCAGGAUCUGGACAAUGUUACUUUUGGUGUUGCAAUGUUGUUGGGCUUAAUGUAUGCUUUGAACCUCAGCUGCCCCACUGAACUGAAGUAUACCUUUGAAGUGCUCCAGAAAGUUGUGAUGGAGCUCGACAGUGACACUCUCUAAGAAAGCCCAAGUUCUUAAAAAAAACUGUAUCAGUGAGCUGUUGCCAGAUAUGACGUGGGUGAGACAACAGUUCACCGUGUUUGGUCCUUUGGAUACAGAACAUUGUUGCUCUUUGGUUGCAUUGAUGAUGCUUUGUACACUGACAGAACUCACUUGCACUGCCUUUAUAUUUGCUACAUCAUAUUUAGUUUAAAAAUGGGGAGCCUUGCGUGGAGCAUUGCUUAGCUUUAACACUUCUGGACCCCAGUCUACCAUGUUAGUCCGUUGGAAUAUGGACUGUUUAUUGCACUAGUACUGGAAUGAAAUGUUGCAACUCACAUAUUGCCACAUUACUUUCAUGUAUGUUUUUGGUAAUAUUUGUUUAUUACGUGUGCUUACAAAUUGGAUGUCAGAAGUGUUUGUGUUACUCUGACUGUUGUUUUUUUGCUCCACGCUCUUUAUAACAAUUGUUGAUAUUGUAAAGGGAAAGGCUACUUUGUUGUGAUUAUUGCCAUUUGUUUUUGUCCGCACAUACCCCAUUGUGAUGCAUUGUUACCUCCGCCAAGGAGGUUCUGUUUUUGC
Long non-coding RNA from Sphaeramia orbicularis (orbiculate cardinalfish), 1355 nucleotides. RefSeq lists it as uncharacterized. The transcript has 5 exons. The record is from RefSeq and is a predicted model, not a curated record. Lineage: Eukaryota; Metazoa; Chordata; Actinopteri; Kurtiformes; Apogonidae.